RNAcentral lists this ribosomal RNA (484 nucleotides) under uncultured bacterium. RNAcentral's name for it is "partial 16S ribosomal RNA". It matches the Rfam family "Bacterial small subunit ribosomal RNA", at positions 30 to 507 of the family's 1533-position model. The record is from RNAcentral.
AUUGAACGCUGGCGGCAGGCCUAACACAUGCAAGUCGAGCGGAUGAAGGGAGCUUGCUCCUGGAUUCAGCGGCGGACGGGUGAGUAAUGCCUAGGAAUCUGCCUGGUAGUGGGGGAUAACGUCCGGAAACGGGCGCUAAUACUGCAUACGUCCUGAGGGAGAAAGUGGGGGAUCUUCGGACCUCACGCUAUCAGAUGAGCCUAGGUCGGAUUAGCUAGUUGGUGGGGUAAAGGCCUACCAAGGCGACGAUCCGUAACUGGUCUGAGAGGAUGAUCAGUCACACUGGAACUGAGACACGGUCCAGACUCCUACGGGAGGCGGCAGUGGGGAAUAUUGGACAAUGGGCGAAAGCCUGAUCCAGCCAUGCCGCGUGUGUGAAGAAGGUCUUCGGAUUGUAAAGCACUUUAAGUUGGGAGGAAGGGCAGUAAGUUAAUACCUUGCUGUUUUGACGUUACCAACAGAAUAAGCACCGGCUAACUUCGUG